UAAAAAAAAAAAAAAGGUAAUUAAAGGAAUCCUAGAUAUUAAGUCAAAUACAACGUAAUUUUUUGCGUAAAUGUGUAAGGAGUGAUUAGUGUAAUGCUAUGAAUCUGUGAUUUACACGUAUUGUAAAAGAGUUAACUUAUCUAACAAAAGAAGUUAAAAUAACUAAAAACCUAGUGAAUUGAAACAUCUUAGUAACUAGAGGAAAAGAAAUCAAUCGAGAUUUUGUUAGUAGUGGUGAGCGAAAAUGAAUCUAGCCCUAAAAUUUUAAAUAAAAGUAUUUUAAAUUUCUAAAUGAAAUGCUAAAAAAGGUUAAGCCCUGUAAAAAUACUUAUUAAAAUUGAAUUGAGUAUUGCGAAACACGUGAAAUUUUGCAGGAAUCACAGGGGACCACCCUUGAAGGCUAAAUAUGACUUAAUAAUCGAUAGUGUAAUUAGUACUGUGAAGGAAAGGUUGAAAAGUGCUUCGAAAGGAGCGAUGAAACAAAGAAAUUAAUUACUAAUAACAGUUGGAGUAAAUAUUUUUAUUUAUGACAAUGUACCUUUUGCAUAAUGGGCCAGCGAGUUAUUUUAAUUAGCGAGUUUAAAAAAUUUAUUGUAAACGUAGCGAAAGCGAGUUUUAAAAGAGCGUGAAAGUUAAUUAUAAUAGACCCGAAGCUAAGUGAGCUAGCCAUGAGCAGGUUGAAGUUGUUGUAACAAAUAAUGAAGGACCGAACCCGUGUAUGUGAAAAGAUACUGGGAUGACUUAUGGUUAGGGGUGAAAGGCUAAACAAACUUAGCGAUAGCUGGUUUUCUACGAUAUCUAUUGAAGUAGAGUGUUAUACUUUGUUUUUUAGGGUAGAGUCACCUGUAGAACAAUGGGGACGAUUGUCUUACUGAAUUCUAUAAAACUCCGAAUAUGAAAAAUUUUUAGUAUAGCAAACAGACUAUGGAUGAUAAAGUCCUUGGUCGUGAGGGAAAGAGCCCAGACCAUCAGUUAAGGUCCUAAAAUACUACGUAGUGAGAAAGGAGGUAAUUAGUUAUGACCAUUAGGAAGUGGGUUUGGAAGCGGCCAUCUUUUAAAGAAAGCGUAAUAGCUCACUAGUGGAAUUAAUUAUUUCUAAAAAUGUAACGGGACUUUGUAGUAUACCGAAACUAUGGAUUCUUAAAAAAGAAUGGUAGUAGAACGUUUUGUAUGAUGUUGAAGAUCUUUUGAGAAAAAGAUUUGAAUUAUCAAAAGUGAGAAUGCUGGCAUGAGUAACGAUAAAUGAUAUGAAAAAUAUCAUCGCCGAAAGCCUAAGGAUUUCUACGCAAGGAUAAUCCUCGUAGAGUUAAUCGGCCCCUAAGAUUUGUUAGGAAACUAAUAAUUGAUGGGUAUAAGAUUAAUAUUUCUUUAUUAAGUAGAUAGUUACGAAAAAACUAAAUUUAAAUUUUUUUAAAAACUUUUUAAAUUUAAAAUAAGUUUUUUUCCUAGAAAAAACUAUAUUUAAAAAACCGUACUAAAAUCGACACAGAUAGGCUGGUAGAGUAUACUAAGGCGCUUGAGAGAACAAUAUUGAAGGAACUCGGCAAAAUGCACUCGUAACUUCGGGAGAAGAGUGGCCAAGAUUAUUUUUUGGUGGCACAGAAUUGGGGGUAGCGACUGUUUAAUAAAAACACAGGAUUCUGCUAAGUAGCAAUAUUAAGUAUAGAAUCUGACGCCUGCCCAGUGCUGUAAGGUAAAGAAUAUUUGUGCAAGCAAAUAUUUGAAGCCCACGGUAAACGGCAGCCGUAACUAUAACGGUUCGAAGGUAGCGAAAUUCCUUGUCAAUUAAUUGUUGACCUGCACGAACGGCGUAACGACUUCCCCGCUGUCUCCAAUAUUGACUCAGUGAAAUUGAAUUCUCCGUGCAGAUGCGGAGUACUAGUAGCUAGACGGAAAGACCCUAUACACCUUUACUGCAUCUUUAUAUUGGUAUUAAAAAUGGAUUACGUAGGAUAAAUCAGAGCUUAUGACGCCUAAAUUUCGGUUUACUGCAGAGGCAUCCUUGAAAUAUGAUUUUUUCUUAUUUUUAUACCUAAUAAAUUUUUUUUAGACAUUAUAUGGUUGGUAGUUUUGCUGGGGCGGCAGACUCCUAAAAAGUAACGGAGUUGUGCAAAGGUAAGCUCAAAAUAACAUUUAGUUAUUUGUAGAGUGUAAUGGCAUAAGCUUGCUUGACUGUAAUAUUGAUAAAUUAUACAGGGACGAAAGUCGGCCAUAGAGAUCCGAUGUUUCUUUGUGGAAAGGACAUCGCUCAACGGAUAAAAGGUACGUUAGGGAUAACAGGCUUAUAACUCUUGAGAGAUCUUAUCGACGGAGUUGUUUGGCACCUCGAUGUUGUUUCGUCACAUCCUGGAGCUGAAGCAGGUUCCAAGGGUUCGGUUGUUCGCCGAUUAAAGUGGUACGUGAAAUGAGUUUAGAGCGUCGUGAGACAGUUUGGCCCCUAUCUACUACUAGUAAGUUUAAAAAUUGAGAAGUGCUUUUCUUUGUACGAGAGGACCGGAAAAGCUAUACCAAUGGUUUAUCGGUUGUUGGGUUUACAGCAUUGCCGAAAAGCUACGUAUAAAUAUUAUAACUGCAGAAGGCAUCUAAGCGGGAAGAUAACUUCAAAAUCAAUUUUUAUUGCAAUGGUAUUAGAGAAAUACUUAGAUAGGUUAAUC
RNAcentral lists this ribosomal RNA (2654 nucleotides) under Bacteroidota bacterium. RNAcentral's name for it is "Bacteroidetes bacterium (activated sludge metagenome) partial 23S ribosomal RNA". It matches the Rfam family "Bacterial large subunit ribosomal RNA". The record is from RNAcentral. Lineage: Bacteria; Pseudomonadati; Bacteroidota.